This 527-nucleotide ribosomal RNA is filed under the name Fusarium cf. solani 20602. RNAcentral's name for it is "eukaryotic LSU rRNA". The stretch from base 168 to 321 matches the Rfam family "5.8S ribosomal RNA". Lineage: Eukaryota; Fungi; Ascomycota; Sordariomycetes; Hypocreales; Nectriaceae. The record is from RNAcentral.
GCGGAGGGAUCAUUACCGAGUUAUACAACUCAUCAACCCUGUGAACAUACCUAAAACGUUGCUUCGGCGGGAACAGACGGCCCCGUAACACGGGCCGCCCCCGCCAGAGGACCCCCUAACUCUGUUUCUAUUAUGUUUCUUCUGAGUAAAACAAGCAAAUAAAUUAAAACUUUCAACAACGGAUCUCUUGGCUCUGGCAUCGAUGAAGAACGCAGCGAAAUGCGAUAAGUAAUGUGAAUUGCAGAAUUCAGUGAAUCAUCGAAUCUUUGAACGCACAUUGCGCCCGCCAGUAUUCUGGCGGGCAUGCCUGUUCGAGCGUCAUUACAACCCUCAGGCCCCCGGGCCUGGCGUUGGGGAUCGGCGAGGCGCCCCCUGCGGGCACACGCCGUCCCCCAAAUACAGUGGCGGUCCCGCCGCAGCUUCCAUUGCGUAGUAGCUAACACCUCGCAACUGGAGAGCGGCGCGGCCAUGCCGUAAAACACCCAACUUCUGAAUGUUGACCUCGGAUCAGGUAGGAAUACCCGCUG